This 376-nucleotide ribosomal RNA is filed under the name uncultured organism. RNAcentral describes it as "partial 16S ribosomal RNA". It matches the Rfam family "Bacterial small subunit ribosomal RNA", at positions 527 to 896 of the family's 1533-position model. The record is from RNAcentral.
GUAGGUGGCAAGCGUUGUCCGGAAUUAUUGGGGCGUAAAGCGCGCGCAGGCGGUUCGUUUAAGUCUGAUGUGAAAGCCCACGGGCUCAACCGUGGAGGGUCAUUGGAAACUGGAGAACUUGAGUACAGAAGAGGAAAGCGGAAUUCCACGUGUAGCGGUGAAAUGCGUAGAGAUGUGGAGGAACACCAGUGGCGAAGGCGGCUUUCUGGUCUGUAACUGACGCUGAGGCGCGAAAGCGUGGGGAGCAAACAGGAUUAGAUACCCUGGUAGUCCACGCCGUAAACGAUGAGUGCUAAGUGUUAGGGGGUUUCCGCCCCUUAGUGCUGCAGCUAACGCAUUAAGCACUCCGCCUCGGGGAGUACGGCCGCAAAGGCUG